This 1354-nucleotide long non-coding RNA is filed under the name Junco hyemalis (dark-eyed junco). RNAcentral's name for it is "lncRNA (ENSJHYG00000008544.1)". The record is from RNAcentral. Lineage: Eukaryota; Metazoa; Chordata; Aves; Passeriformes; Passerellidae.
ACCAAGGCAAGCCAUUGCCUUGCACAGUGUCCUGAUGCCUCCCUGCUCCACAGAAAUCUCUCAGCACACUGUGCAAGAUUUCUCUGGUAUCUUGGUAUCUGCAGCCACUAGCUUGUUUCUGUUUAUCAAAUCCUUUCCUCCCCUCUGGGAGCAAUAGACCAGAGGUCAAGUUUUCCCAGCAAAAAUUCUAAUUGCUCCCUAAGAGCAGGGCUGUCUGCUGUUCUCUUUCAGCCCUGUUGCAUUACUGAGGUGCUCUUUAAUAUCAUGCUUGUGAUAUUCGGGUUCUCUUCUAAAUGAGGGCUCAUUGUCAUCACCAGAUGUCACUGCCUGGCUUCUCUUUCUGUCUGGGUCAUCAGCUAAAGUGGUUUAAUUGUUUCCAUUCCAGUAGAAUUCUAUGAUUUCCAUUGUUUCUGCUUUCUCCUCAUUUGUUAGAUCCUGUCCUGUCAGCAUGACCAUGGCAUGGAAUUCUGGCUUCUGUGCAGAUUCCUCUCAGGGGCUCACAUCACUGAAGUUACUUUAGCACAGAAUGUUACACAAGGACAGAUGCUGGGCAAUCUCAACUUUUUCAUCAGUUUGUGGUCCAGUUCACAGCUUUGUUGUGGCCCAAGAUGUCACACGUCAUCUCCUCUUGCCACUGGCACAUGCAAGGCAGCCUUCUCCUCUGCCAUGGUGGUUAAGCUCCCCUGAAUUGCACAGUAUUUUUUGCACAAUAAGAACACACACAGACUAUUACUGUGACUCCUCAUGGUGAGUUGUUUCAGUGCUUAAAGCCUGUGGCUGGAUAUGGAAGAUUUCCAACACCACCAGUUACUCACAAACUGCACACAAACAGAUCCCUUACAUUAUGGUUUUGGAAAUACUUCCCCCUUGGGCUUCUUCAUUAUCAGUCCAAGACUGCAACAAUACAGGCCUAUAUCUGAGUUAUGAAUGCCAGCCUCUGUCUGCUGCUGUGCAGCCACUCAGCCUUGCCGGAGCUCCUUCCAUGGGUUUAAUCCCAAAAUGAGUUUUGAGGAAUGCUGCCAAACUUUCACAGCAGCACCAAAGUCGGUGAACUGCCCUUCCCUCCCUACUCUUGUAGCUUUUUAUUAUUUUUAUUUGUCGUGUGUUUUUUCUUCUGUUGAAUAAUUCAGCUAAUGGGCUGGCACUGGAGCGCCUGAGAGCUGCUCCCUAAUGAGGGAAGCAGCUUGCCAGCUUUUUAUCUUUCCAGUCCUUUGACUGCAAACCCAACAUUAUUAACAAAUCACCAUGGAAGAGCCGUGGUAAUACAGAACAAAAUGUUGUUGUCUUAACUUAAGCGGGCGAGCAAGAAAAGAUAAACAAAAUAAAAGAAAGCCAAGCCCUGCCUGGAAGAACA